Non-coding RNA from Equus caballus (horse), 4858 nucleotides. NCBI's taxonomy places the organism in Eukaryota, Metazoa, Chordata, Mammalia, Perissodactyla, Equidae. The record is from RefSeq and is a predicted model, not a curated record.
GUCCAAAGGAGGCCAAAUUAACAUGCGUACCCAGUCCCUGCUCACCGCCCCAGGACACCAACCUGCUCAGUGUCUUUUAUACUCACAACUUCUCCCAAAGUCCCUGAGGACGUCUCACCCCCGUCUGCAAAUUGUUUGGCCUUCCUGGACAUUUGACUCUUGGUGGUCUGCUUGGGAGCAGAAGGAGAAUGGCUCCCUGCCCCCAGUGUAACAAUUACAGGGCCCUAGAACAGGGUCGCUUGGCAUCUGGGGGCUGGGAGGCGGGUGAGACACCCCAGCUGUCUGCUCGCCUCCAGGGUGGCUGGGUGUAGUAGAGACCACCGCACUAGACCCGCAACCUCUGCUUCCUCCUGACUCGGAACUGUGCUGCUGAGUCUGCCAGGCUCCUUGCUCCUGACGUUGGACCGUAUCCUAGGAGCUCCACAUUUGGCUUUCGUCACUAAUCUCCCCACCUCCCUCCUCUCCUGUCCCAAGUCUGCAGGCAGCCUCAGCUGUGGACACCGUGGGACACUUUCUCUGGAGCUCCAGAAACCAGGACUUGGAGCUAAUAACAGGAUAAAGAGCAUUGUGAUUAUGGUCACCUAACAGGAACCUUUGACAACUCCAGAGAGUAUGCUCUGCACCACAUUUCGGGAAAUGCAGCGCGGGGGUGGAUGCACGGAAAAUCUGAGGCUGCCCUGCUUCCCCAUCAGGGCCUUCUCCUUCCCUGGGACAACCAGAACUCUGAUUAGUCUCCGGGAGACGAGCGUUCCUGUUCCUGGAAAUACUCCUACCACCCGCUGGGCAAACUUCCCCAUUGACAUGAUGGGAAGAUGCAGGACCAGAGAGCCUACUGUGAUGUGAAUCUGUUCCACGGCACCCAGCACUAGAUACAGAAAGGGGAAGAAAAACAAGUUUUUAUGUGCAAAGCCAGAAGCUAAUCUGUGGAAACUUCUUCCAGUCAAUGCAUAUAAAAUUAUACUUGGAGGAUUUGGUUCUCAUCAAUUCUUAGAAAAAAGAAAUUCUGUUAGGAACAUACUCUGUAUGCAGUAUAUACAAUUACAAACACUCCAAGCAUUUUCUUCUUUUUCAAAGAGAUUAUGCAAAAUCAAAUUGAUCAAAAUUCUUCUAUUUAUAGAGCACAAGUCCUGUGGAAGAACUACAGGGAACAUGUUCAUUGAAGUUGCAUAUUUUAUGAAUUUUAAAAAUUAAUAACGCAAAAAUUUUUUGAUCAACCAAGUUAGAGGAAGAACUGAAUUAUUUUAUUCUCUCUACAGAAAAUGUUACAAAAUAGUUGUCACAUGAAGAGACCAUCAAAGAGUUAGAGGCCAAAGAAUGUAGGAAUAUAUCUUAUCGAGUUAUAUCAGCCACUAACUAACAAAAAUAUUGCAUUAUUUUCUGAAUUUUUGUGGCAUUUAUUAAUUUUUUAAAAUUUGAAAUGUUAUAUGUUCUUUCUUCACUCUGUAUAAACAUUCACUUUUGUACCUAAUUUUGUAUUUGUAAUUUUAAAUAUUUUUUCUCCAAGAAGGCCCUCAAAACGCAAGUCUCAAUCUCACAAAAGUUGGCUCCAACCUAAGAUAGGGGAAGCUAUUGGUUCUUCUUCUUUAUGACCUUGCCACUAGAUUACAGCAAGGGUGAGUGUCACGUAAGUCCUGCUUCGUAUAACAAACAUGUAUCAUCCAGCAGGCAGAGGAAACCAUCACAAAACCUCUUCUGUAAUCUCAGCGAAGAUCCGGUUCUGUGUCCUUUUAGGAGCUACGACAGAACAUUUCACAGAAAACUUCUAGGAAGCAAAGAAUAAUAUUCUAAAGGCCAAAUUCUGCUGACCAUCUGGUUGGAGUCAGGCAAACAAGAAUCCUGUCACCCAGGAUUGUUUAGAAAUUGAGCCCAGGUAAAAGGAGGCCUCUGAUGAUUACUGGAGGUGACCAUAGCUGAAGAACUCAGAGUUCCUGCCUCUGGAGCAUGGCUUUUGUGAUGACCCAAUCACCCAAGACCCCAACCUGGUGCUUCCAAGGGCUUUUGAACUGAGAAGCAAGCCCUGCCCUGUCCAAUGGCAAAGCUGGGAACCUGUGAGCCUGGAGCUGCUGGUGUCCACGCUUCCGGCCUUGAGAGGAGAACCACCUGAAGAGCAUAAAGCCACUCUGCAAGCAGGAAGGAGGCAUGAGGAGUGUCGCGAGAGUGUCCAGGCCAGGUCUAGUCAUCACUGGUGCCAACCUUAUUCCUGCCCCUCUUCAUUGGGCUACAUGAGUCCACAAAUUCUAUCUCUCAAGCUUCUUGGAGUUCACUUUCUGUCAUUUUUUCAAAACCAAAAAAUAUCCUAAACAAAGCACCAGCUAAGGCAGCAAAAUUACAGAGCUUGAUAAAAUAAAAGAAAUGGAAUCAACAAGAAGAAAGGUGGAAAAGUCUGGUAAUUCUCAGGAACAAAAUAACCAGGGAGAAUAAAAUUUGCAGUCUUGGAAGUCUACACCUCAGGGUACAGUGUACAGAAACUGAAAAAAGUGACCUUAAGAUUUUAGCUCAGGGAGACAAAUGUUACUGUGCUGGUUUCAUGAGCCUUGGAGGAUGGGCUGGGAUGGCAGCGAUGGAAGAGUUCCUUUUUAAAAGACAGAGCUGGUAGGAAGGGGAGGAAAGGGUGACCACAUGUUAAGAAGAGAGCACCUGCGUGGAAAUCCAGAAGCCAUGAGGGCAGAGAGGGAAAUGGAGAGGGAGAGAAAGGGAAAUGAGACUGUGGCACUAGCUGUGGGUUGUGCAACCAGAUAUAAGUAAUUGAUGAUGUGCCCCCAAGAAGUGCCGCAACCCACCUGCUAGGCUGGGGCAGAGGGGCAGGGCUAGCUCCCUGGGAGCAAGGAUCAGAGGCUUCAAAGCACAGCAAGGCAGGCCAGGAAGCAGCCAGGCACGGGCACACUGGGAGCACAAAUCACACUGGUUGCAAAACGGAUCAACUCAAGAGCAGACAAAUAUGGGCUCAAGGUCAAUCUAAGGGCAGAAGCCAGGUGACACAAGUGAGUCAAAUCUAGAAAGAAAGUCGUAAGAGUGAGACACAGGGAGACACAGGGGGGACCCCAGGAGCAGACGCUAGAAACUGGAAGUAGAUUAGCUGGGGUGUAUGUAGACGAGGCAAGCGGCCGAGAGUCUGCAGACACAAAGGCUCACAUGGCAUUCCACCAGAUAGCCAUCUGCUGCCGAGCCAUCACUUUUAUGCCUGCUGUCCACAUGCAGGUGGCUCUGCCCUCAGGGCUUGGAGGCGUGAGCAGGCCCCCAUGGCACAUUUGACAAUGCUGGCACGGCAGCAAGACGGAGUGGGGGUAGUUGGGCAACUCAUUCUACUGAACCCAGGGUGUCUGAUCAAUUCUCCUCGUGGUGCUGACAGUUUCAUCUCUCAUAAUUUAAAGACAGAAAUGAGAAAAACUCCUCCCCUGAACCUAAUUCCAGACAUCCUGCCUUGCAGAAGUGGAAGUGACAGAGACCCUGAGAGGAGCUGGCCUUUACAAAGCCACUGACAUCCAGGACCCAAGCAGAUGAGGGCCCUGAACCUGUUGGGAAAGCAGGUUUUAGAAACGUCCCGAGAAGGGUUAGAAAUGUCCAGAAUAGGUCUCCAUGAGCAGAGACUCUCAAUGAGCAACAGCUCCAUAGGAAAGGGAGGCUAAUUGGGGCUAAAUGGGACUAAUUAUAUUUUGUUAACAGAUGAUAGCCAGAAAGCAGAAGUCCUCAAAUUGCACUUUACUUCCAAAUUCUCAGUCAAGAAGACUGAUGUUCAGGCUGGAAAAGCAGAAUUAGUGCUGGUUAGAGGGAAUGAAGCCGUGUAGAACUGCUAUGAGCAGCCUUCACAUACCCCUCACAAAUGUAGAGUCCCCACGCAGCAGGAUUUAGCCCCCUCGCUGCAUGCCUCCGAUACUUCUGAGAUGCCCAGGGUGCCAGGCUGCGAACGUCUGUCUACCGCCCACAUCUUCCCUUGCUGCUAAUGAUAAUCAAGAGACUAACCCUCUUGCAGGCCACAGCCAUCCAGUUCCACCGCUGGUACCACCAGGCAAGGCUCGGGGAGAGGGGUGCCAGCUGCCCUCCGCCUUUGCAUCUGAAGCACGGGAUGCAGCAUUCCCUAAGUCCCUCGGCACACAACUGGGACCCAUCAACCCUGCCUCCGGGACACAAGCUGCACCAGGGCAGGGAGUUCUGUCUGGUUUUUUUGUCACUAUGUAUCCCCAGGGUCCGGGUCCCUGGCAGAUAGCAGGAGCUCAUCAAUCUGCAACUGUCAACAAGUCUUUACUAAACAUUCCAAAAUAAAAGAGGAACAAGGCGGAGAAUAAGUAACAACAGUACAAAGAUGUUGCUAAUUUCGGGGUUCUCAGGCCCAGAUUUCCAAUGUCUUUGUACAAAUUACAAAAACGUAAUUGAGCAGGCCCAUGGUGUUCGUUGCAUGUAGAAGAUGCCUGUAUGGGAAGUGACUUGCCUUCAUGCUGCAUUGGAACAAGAAAGAUCUAAAGUGAAAGUAUUAUAAGCAGAAUUAGCCAAAUAUCAGGGUGGCAGAAAAGGGAAAAGAAAGUCUGAAGCCGACAGUGUAGGUGAUUCCAUUAGCCUGUGAGGUCAACACAAAAAUCAGGAGUGUCAGGGUUCGGCAAAAAUGUGGAUAUUUAAUGCUGUGCAACUGCUAAACUACGCGUUUUUUGUUGAAGAAACUAAAAUGAUUAGCUCACCAACAGUCUAUAAUUAUAUGUCCUUUUGGCUUAAAGUGAAAAGAAGAAAAAUAGAUUUCCAGCAGAACUCAAUGAUUAUUGUUUACGAUCCAUACUUCUCAUCACUUUAGUUUUUCAUCAGUCAAUAAAAUUAAUUUAAUCUUCCCAAAAAAAAGAAAGUUCAUUGGCUGACAAAAUAGAAAAAGUGA